ACGAACGCUGGCGGCGUGCUUAACACCUGCCAGUCGAACGGAAAGGCCCUGCUUUUGUGGGGUGCUCGAGUGGCGAACGGGUGGGUAACACGUGAGUAACCUGCCCUUGACUUUGGGAUAACUUCAGGAAACUGGGGCUAAUACCGGAUAGGAGGUCCUGCUGCAUGGGGGGGGUUGGAAAGUUUCGGCGGGUGGGGAUGGACUCGCGGCUUAUCAGCUUGUUGGUGGGGUAGUGGCUUACCAAGGCUUUGACGGGUAGCCGGCCUGAGAGGGUGACCGGCCACAUUGGGACUGAGAUACGGCCCAGACUCCUACGGGAGGCAGCAGUGGGGAAUAUUGCACAAUGGGCGGAAGCCUGAUGCAGCAACGCCGCGUGCGGGAUGACGGCCUUCGGGUUGUAAACCGCUUUCGCCUGUGACGAAGCGUGAGUGACGGUAAUGGGUAAAGAAGCACCGGCUAACUACGUG
This 467-nucleotide ribosomal RNA is filed under the name uncultured bacterium. RNAcentral's name for it is "partial 16S ribosomal RNA". It matches the Rfam family "Bacterial small subunit ribosomal RNA", at positions 29 to 507 of the family's 1533-position model. The record is from RNAcentral.